UUAAGCGACUAAGCGUACACGGUGGAUGCCCUGGCAGUCAGAGGCGAUGAAGGACGUGCUAAUCUGCGAUAAGCGUCGGUAAGGUGAUAUGAACCGUUAUAACCGGCGAUUUCCGAAUGGGGAAACCCAGUGUGAUUCGACACACUAUCAUUAACUGAAUCCAUAGGUUAAUGAGGCGAACCGGGGGAACUGAAACAUCUAAGUACCCCGAGGAAAAGAAAUCAACCGAGAUUCCCCCAGUAGCGGCGAGCGAACGGGGAGCAGCCCAGAGCCUGAAUCAGUGUGUGUGUUAGUGGAAGCGUCUGGAAAGGCGCGCGAUACAGGGUGACAGCCCCGUACACAAAAAUGCACAUGCUGUGAGCUCGAUGAGUAGGGCGGGACACGUGGUAUCCUGUCUGAAUAUGGGGGGACCAUCCUCCAAGGCUAAAUACUCCUGACUGACCGAUAGUGAACCAGUACCGUGAGGGAAAGGCGAAAAGAACCCCGGCGAGGGGAGUGAAAAAGAACCUGAAACCGUGUACGUACAAGCAGUGGGAGCACGCUUAGGCGUGUGACUGCGUACCUUUUGUAUAAUGGGUCAGCGACUUAUAUUCUGUAGCAAGGUUAACCGAAUAGGGGAGCCGAAGGGAAACCGAGUCUUAACUGGGCGUUAAGUUGCAGGGUAUAGACCCGAAACCCGGUGAUCUAGCCAUGGGCAGGUUGAAGGUUGGGUAACACUAACUGGAGGACCGAACCGACUAAUGUUGAAAAAUUAGCGGAUGACUUGUGGCUGGGGGUGAAAGGCCAAUCAAACCGGGAGAUAGCUGGUUCUCCCCGAAAGCUAUUUAGGUAGCGCCUCGUGAAUUCAUCUCCGGGGGUAGAGCACUGUUUCGGCAAGGGGGUCAUCCCGACUUACCAACCCGAUGCAAACUGCGAAUACCGGAGAAUGUUAUCACGGGAGACACACGGCGGGUGCUAACGUCCGUCGUGAAGAGGGAAACAACCCAGACCGCCAGCUAAGGUCCCAAAGUCAUGGUUAAGUGGGAAACGAUGUGGGAAGGCCCAGACAGCCAGGAUGUUGGCUUAGAAGCAGCCAUCAUUUAAAGAAAGCGUAAUAGCUCACUGGUCGAGUCGGCCUGCGCGGAAGAUGUAACGGGGCUAAACCAUGCACCGAAGCUGCGGCAGCGACGCUGAUGCGUUGUUGGGUAGGGGAGCGUUCUGUAAGCCUGCGAAGGUGUGCUGUGAGGCAUGCUGGAGGUAUCAGAAGUGCGAAUGCUGACAUAAGUAACGAUAAAGCGGGUGAAAAGCCCGCUCGCCGGAAGACCAAGGGUUCCUGUCCAACGUUAAUCGGGGCAGGGUGAGUCGACCCCUAAGGCGAGGCCGAAAGGCGUAGUCGAUGGGAAACAGGUUAAUAUUCCUGUACUUGGUGUUACUGCGAAGGGGGGACGGAGAAGGCUAUGUUGGCCGGGCGACGGUUGUCCCGGUUUAAGCGUGUAGGCUGGUUUUCCAGGCAAAUCCGGAAAAUCAAGGCUGAGGCGUGAUGACGAGGCACUACGGUGCUGAAGCAACAAAUGCCCUGCUUCCAGGAAAAGCCUCUAAGCAUCAGGUAACAUCAAAUCGUACCCCAAACCGACACAGGUGGUCAGGUAGAGAAUACCAAGGCGCUUGAGAGAACUCGGGUGAAGGAACUAGGCAAAAUGGUGCCGUAACUUCGGGAGAAGGCACGCUGAUAUGUAGGUGAAGUCCCUCGCGGAUGGAGCUGAAAUCAGUCGAAGAUACCAGCUGGCUGCAACUGUUUAUUAAAAACACAGCACUGUGCAAACACGAAAGUGGACGUAUACGGUGUGACGCCUGCCCGGUGCCGGAAGGUUAAUUGAUGGGGUUAGCGCAAGCGAAGCUCUUGAUCGAAGCCCCGGUAAACGGCGGCCGUAACUAUAACGGUCCUAAGGUAGCGAAAUUCCUUGUCGGGUAAGUUCCGACCUGCACGAAUGGCGUAAUGAUGGCCAGGCUGUCUCCACCCGAGACUCAGUGAAAUUGAACUCGCUGUGAAGAUGCAGUGUACCCGCGGCAAGACGGAAAGACCCCGUGAACCUUUACUAUAGCUUGACACUGAACAUUGAGCCUUGAUGUGUAGGAUAGGUGGGAGGCUUUGAAGUGUGGACGCCAGUCUGCAUGGAGCCGACCUUGAAAUACCACCCUUUAAUGUUUGAUGUUCUAACGUUGACCCGUAAUCCGGGUUGCGGACAGUGUCUGGUGGGUAGUUUGACUGGGGCGGUCUCCUCCUAAAGAGUAACGGAGGAGCACGAAGGUUGGCUAAUCCUGGUCGGACAUCAGGAGGUUAGUGCAAUGGCAUAAGCCAGCUUGACUGCGAGCGUGACGGCGCGAGCAGGUGCGAAAGCAGGUCAUAGUGAUCCGGUGGUUCUGAAUGGAAGGGCCAUCGCUCAACGGAUAAAAGGUACUCCGGGGAUAACAGGCUGAUACCGCCCAAGAGUUCAUAUCGACGGCGGUGUUUGGCACCUCGAUGUCGGCUCAUCACAUCCUGGGGCUGAAGUAGGUCCCAAGGGUAUGGCUGUUCGCCAUUUAAAGUGGUACGCGAGCUGGGUUUAGAACGUCGUGAGACAGUUCGGUCCCUAUCUGCCGUGGGCGCUGGAGAACUGAGGGGGGCUGCUCCUAGUACGAGAGGACCGGAGUGGACGCAUCACUGGUGUUCGGGUUGUCAUGCCAAUGGCACUGCCCGGUAGCUAAAUGCGGAAGAGAUAAGUGCUGAAAGCAUCUAAGCACGAAACUUGCCCCGAGAUGAGUUCUCCCUGACUCCUUGAGAGUCCUGAAGGAACGUUGAAGACGACGACGUUGAUAGGCCGGGUGUGUAAGCGCAGCGAUGCGUUGAGCUAACCGGUACUAAUGAACCGUGAGGCUUAACCUU
RNAcentral lists this ribosomal RNA (2902 nucleotides) under Escherichia coli O104:H4. Its description in RNAcentral is "bacterial LSU rRNA". It matches the Rfam family "Bacterial large subunit ribosomal RNA". The record is from RNAcentral. Lineage: Bacteria; Pseudomonadati; Pseudomonadota; Gammaproteobacteria; Enterobacterales; Enterobacteriaceae.